AUCUAAAUAGUUUAUAAAAAAUAUUAAUUUGUGGAAUUAAAGAAAUAUACUAUUAUUUUAGAUA
RNAcentral lists this transfer RNA (64 nucleotides) under Curculionidae sp. BMNH 1274272. RNAcentral's name for it is "tRNA-His". The record is from RNAcentral. Lineage: Eukaryota; Metazoa; Arthropoda; Insecta; Coleoptera; Curculionidae.